AUUGAACGCUAGCGGGAUGCUUUACACAUGCAAGUCGGACGGCAGCGCGGACUUCGGUCUGGCGGCGAGUGGCGAACGGGUGAGUAAUGUAUCAGAACGUACCCAGUAGCGGGGGAUAACUACUCGAAAGAGUAGCUAAUACCGCAUACGCCCUACGGGGGAAAGGGGGGGAUCGCAAGACCUCUCACUAUUGGAGCGGCCGAUAUCGGAUUAGCUAGUUGGUGGGGUAAAGGCCUACCAAGGCGACGAUCCGUAGCUGGUUUGAGAGGACGACCCGCCACCCUGGGACUGAGACACGGCCCAGACUCCUACGGGAGGCAGCAGUGGGGAAGUUUUGACAAUGGGGGCAACCCUGAUCCAGCCAUCCCGCGUGUGCGACGAAGGCCUUCGGGUUGUAAAGCACUUUUGGCAGGAAAGAAAUUGCCUGGGUUAAUACCCUGGGUAGAUGACGGUACCUGCAGAAUAAGCACCGGCUAACUACGUGCCAGCAGCCGCGGUAA
This 500-nucleotide ribosomal RNA is filed under the name uncultured bacterium. RNAcentral's name for it is "partial 16S ribosomal RNA". It matches the Rfam family "Bacterial small subunit ribosomal RNA", at positions 30 to 523 of the family's 1533-position model. The record is from RNAcentral.